Long non-coding RNA from Pipra filicauda (Wire-tailed manakin), 1461 nucleotides. RefSeq lists it as uncharacterized. The transcript is spliced from 6 exons. Lineage: Eukaryota; Metazoa; Chordata; Aves; Passeriformes; Pipridae. The record is from RefSeq and is a predicted model, not a curated record.
ACAUUUUGACAUUUUAAAAGCCCAUGUCUAGGUUUUCAAGUGAGUUCUUUCCCCACUGGAAUUAGAGAUUUAGCUAUCAACGCUGAAGGACAAUUAUAUGUAGAGAUGGUCAGUUGGAUCAGUUUACUCAAGUUCUGAGUGACUGUUUUCCCAUGUUUCAAAAAGAGAUAGUGAUGGCACUACAGCUGGCAGCUGUUUCUCGCACACAGUGUGGUUUAGCAGACUUGUUCUGGGAACAUCUACUACAUUUAUUGCACCAAGCUAACCAACAUAAGCUAUGCAAGCAAAUUAAACUUGCUACCCAAGGGAUGACAUAUAAGCUGGAGAGACUGCCUAAUUCAUACACCGUUUAAAACAGAACCACUGCUGAUAGCUGUAAUUAGUUCCAUAGCAACCCUUCCUCCUGCUGCUGCAAGACUGAGGCUGCUAGUCCAACUCCUAUAACAGGAGAUAUAAAACUAUAUUUGAAAGAAUACUACUGAACAGAACCACACAUUAUAUGGGAUGUGCACCAAGAUAUGACGUGGAAAGAACAUGAAGAGUCCUUUGUCAAUGCAGUUCAUAACUGUGCUAGCACAAUUCUAUGUACUCCUUCUUGGUUAAUAACAAGGAACUUGAUAAGAUAAGGAUAAUACUAUUACCCUAGGAGAAGGAUGUGUGUGAAAGACUGGAAUGUUGAUGACUCAGACAAUCCAGGUGCAAGGUGACCAUGUGCAAAGUAAUCACCCAGGUUACUGGGAUGCUGAGGGCAUGCACACCUGCCACCUCAGGCUUCAAGCUGGGUGUUGUUUCUUUGUCCUUACACAAAUGACUCAAAUGUGAUAACUCUCCUCUGGGGAAGCACUGAGACAAUUCACACAUAGCCUGAAGAUAUUAAUCUCUGACCAUAAUGAAGAUAUUAAUCUCUGACCAUAAUGCAUCCACCUGUGCUGAUGUAACACGCAUCUGUAACAUCUUGUCAAAGAUUCCUGAAAUGUCCCGUGAUCCAGUAUUACAUCAUCCAGUGUAGAACUCCCUUCCCCCGGGGUAGUAGCAGAGUCAUUCCCACUUAGCCUAAGCCCAGUAAAAGACCACAUUUGGACUUCACACAACACUAGAUAUUUUUCCCUCACCACGUGGGACUUUCCUUACCACCCAGCGCUUCCACCACCACCUUGAUGGAUCUGGACUGUGACCACCACCACGACAAGACUACAAUCAUCACUUUGACCAACAAACAUCAAAAUUUCAACAACCAAGUCUCAUCACUGGAUCCAAUGGGUGUCUUGCGGGUCCUCUCGGAGAGUCCGCAGCCCUACUCUGAUUGCCUGUACCAGCACCGCAGCCUCACUCAGCACUGACUGUCCAGCUGUUCCUUUCAGGGUUUCCAGGUGUGGGGGAGGAGAAUGACAUGGAAGGGCAGUCAUCUUGUCUCUGUCCUGUGUCCAUGUGUGUUUUCUUUUCCUGAGUGUGGGAGGCCAG